CAGCAGUGGGGAAGUAUUGCACAAUGGGGGAAACCCGUGAUGCAGCCAUGCCGCGUGUGUGAAGAAGGACCUUCGGGUUGUAAAGACACUUUCAGUAGGGAGGAAGGUAGUGUAGUUAACACCUGCAUUAUUUGACGUUACCUACAGAAGAAGCACCGGCUAACUACCGUGCCAGCAGCCGCGGUAAUACGGAGGGUGCGAGCGUUAAUCGGAAUUACUGGGCGUAAAGACGCAUGCAGGCGGCCUGUUAAGUCAGAUGUGAAAGCCCGGGGCUUAACCUCGGAAUUGCAUUUGAAACUGGCAGGCUAGAGUCUUGUAGAGGGGGGUAGGAAUUUCAGGUGUAGCGGUGAAAUGCGUAGAGAUCUGAAGGAAUACCAGUGGCGAAGGCGGCCCCCUGGACAAAGACUGACGCUCAGAUGCGAAAGCGUGGGGAGCAAACAGGAUUAGAUACCCUGGUAG
Molecule: ribosomal RNA, 459 nt
Filed under: uncultured bacterium
Lineage: Bacteria
Description: bacterial SSU rRNA
Rfam family: Bacterial small subunit ribosomal RNA
Source: RNAcentral